CCUACGGGAGGCAGCAGUGAGGAAUAUUGGUCAAUGGACGCAAGUCUGAACCAGCCAUGCCGCGUGCAGGAUGACGGCCCUAUGAGUUGUAAACUGCUUUUGUACGAGGGUAAACCCCGGUACAUGUAUCGGGUUGAAAGUACCGUACGAAUAAGGAUCGGCUCACUCCGUGCCAGCAGCCGCGGUAAUACGGAGAGUCCGAGCGUUAUCCGGAUUUGUUGGGUUUAAAGGGGGCGUAGGCGGUUUGUUAAGUUAGAUGUGAAAUGUCGGGGCUCAACCCCGAAAGUGCCUUUAAUACUGGUGGACUGGAGAAUAGUUGCGGUAGGCGGAAUGUAUGGUGUAGCGGUGAAAUGCUUAGAGAUCAUACAGAACACCGAUUGCGAAGGCAGCUUACCAAACUGUAACUGACGUUGAGGCACGAAAGCGUGGGUAGCAAACAGGAUUAGAUACCCGAGUAGUC
Molecule: ribosomal RNA, 460 nt
Filed under: uncultured bacterium
Lineage: Bacteria
Description: partial 16S ribosomal RNA
Rfam family: Bacterial small subunit ribosomal RNA
Source: RNAcentral